CUCUUGGCGACUCAUGGCCACGGACGUCCUCCCGGAGCUGUCUGCCCACAAGCCACUUCAUACCUGAGAAUCAGGCAGUGAGGAAAACGUCUGCUAUUUCCAGGCUUUCAUGUGAGGACCUCUUGGGGCUAACAAGGUGAAGGACUCUUUGAAGCAAUUUGUAGGAUGCCAUUGAUUCCUUGGGAAUCUGCUACAGGGACACAUGCAGAAGAACGUUAAGAUGGUCAAAGUCCUAGCGGAUUCUAAGAAAGAGUAUUCCCGGAGUCAGAUGCAGAAGGUAAAGAUGUCCUUCCCUUCGAUUCUUCGAUUCUCCUUACUGAUGAAAG
This 326-nucleotide long non-coding RNA is filed under the name Cricetulus griseus (Chinese hamster). RNAcentral describes it as "lncRNA (ENSCGRG00015034351.1)". The record is from RNAcentral. Lineage: Eukaryota; Metazoa; Chordata; Mammalia; Rodentia; Cricetidae.